This 327-nucleotide ribosomal RNA is filed under the name uncultured bacterium. RNAcentral's name for it is "bacterial SSU rRNA". It matches the Rfam family "Bacterial small subunit ribosomal RNA", at positions 18 to 344 of the family's 1533-position model. The record is from RNAcentral.
CAUGGCUCAGGAUGAACGCUGGCGGCGCGCCUAACACAUGCAAGUCGAACGAUUAAAGCACCUUCGGGUGUGUAUAAAGUGGCGAACGGCUGAGUAACACGUGGGCAACCUGCCCCUCUCAUUGGGAUAGCCACGGGAAACCGUGGAUAAUACCGAAUACUUCGGGACUUCCGCAUGGAAGACUCGAGAAAGCUCCGGCGGAGAGGGAUGGGCCCGCGGCCUGUUAGCUUGUUGGUGGGGUAACGGCCUACCAAGGCAAUGAUGGGUAGCUGGGUUGAGAGACCGACCAGCCAGAUUGGGACUGAGACACGGCCCAGACUCCUACGG